GACCUCCUGCAUGCUAAGCACACACUCUACACUGAAUUCCUCCCACCCCCCACCCCCACUGCACAUAAACUUUCUGAAAAACCAUUGGAAAUAGGGUUAUAGGUUGCAGUCCUCCAGAAACAGGCCUUAAGAAUUUGAGGGCAGGGCAUUAAUUUCAGGUAAACCCAGAAAAUACCAGUACAGGAAGUGAGGAAGUGAAAAAUGAAACAGAAAGAACACAGAAACAGUGUGCAUUAAUGAGGAAGUUAAUGCUGUAGGAAUGGGGCUCCUCUGGGAGAUUGCAUGUAACACUUCUUAGAGUUGCACCCCACCUGCCAUCACCACCAGGGGGCAAAAAGCUGGGAUAUUUACCCACCACCUCCACCGGUCGUGGGUUGAGGACUGCUCCUAGGAACAUAAAUUCCCUGGUACAUCCAGCCUGCCUUGCAUAUCGGUCUGGUGCCCUCAGGAGGCUGGAGAAGGCUGUCACACAAAGACUGAGGAAGCUGUAAUGCAAAAGGGCCCCAACAGUAACUGUUACAACUAAAGAUGCUGCAUUAUCACAAAAGAAAACGUUGUAUGGAGACCUUAGCAAAUCCUCACAACUUUUCCAUGUAUCAUCUCACUUGACCUUCAGAACAAUGUUGUGAGGUGUCUAGUCAAGAAUUUGUAUCCUCAUCAAGAGUAAAGAGAGGAUUAGAAAACUGAAGAUCAGAGAGAUGGGGACUUGCCCAAAAGGAAAAAGCAUGACUAAGUAAUAUAUAACAAAAUAAUACAUGGGAAUUUAAAAUGAGACAAAGCCAAGUCCUGCGCUUCUUUAAUGUAUGGAGGAAUAGCAAUUCUUUUUGAGAGGAUGGAGCCAAACUUGAAUGAGAACAAGAAUAAAUUCUUUAAUGUAAGUGCUUUGCCGAAUUUAUUUGCAGAAUUAACAUACCAGUCCACUUCCAUCAAGGGCAUCCAAUUGCAGCUAUUGUUUGCAUAGUCUGCAGAAAUAGCCAUCUGACAUCCUUGAAGAUUAAUUCCACUGUUACUGUAAGCUUUACGUGAUGGAUAGCUGAAAGAUUGAACCAGGAGCUGCAAUUGAACUCUUACGCCUUAUAAUUGAUAUGAAAAGCUAAAGCAUGUUCAGUUCCUGAUGAUAGCAAUUUGCAAGACUGAAUGGCAUUGCAAGCAUGUUAAUUCAAACUGAAAACAUUCAGCUAAGUUAAUACUAAUUUCACAAUGUUCUAAGAUUCAAGUGAAGCUGUGUUUUUCUGAGUUUAUAAAAUUAGACUACAAAAACAGAUUUUUGAGGAUGUUCUCAGUCACUUGACUUAGAUACACAGUGAGCAGAGCAGUAAAUAUAACUAAUAAAACCAUAUAUUGUGAUUUUGGUGUUUCAUUAUCUGGAAAACAUUACAAGAACGAAAGAAGAUGCUGUGAUAAAUUGUAAAAACUAAAAAACUAAAAAAAAAGAAGAAAGUAAAAGA
This is a non-coding RNA of Vicugna pacos (alpaca), 1448 nucleotides long. The record is from RefSeq and is a predicted model, not a curated record. NCBI's taxonomy places the organism in Eukaryota, Metazoa, Chordata, Mammalia, Artiodactyla, Camelidae.